Molecule: long non-coding RNA, 3001 nt
Organism: Myxocyprinus asiaticus (Chinese sucker)
Lineage: Eukaryota; Metazoa; Chordata; Actinopteri; Cypriniformes; Catostomidae
Exons: 5
Source: RefSeq, a predicted model, not a curated record
AUUCGAUAGAGAAAAAUAGUGAAACCAGAGCCAAAUAUGGCAGAGAACAAUACACAGAAUUGGCAUAUGAAGUACUUCCAGAAUAUAUAUAUAUAGAUUUUGAAUUGAUAAACAAAUCAAGACUUAAUCCUUCAUAGGUCAAUGCUCAUUUAUAGACAUUUUUCUAGACAUUAUAGAAAAUCCAAAAAUAGGGACCAAAAUUAGCAUUUUAAACCAAUACUGCUGGAAUUUCAUAACUCAAACUAGUAAUCAAGUUAUGUAAACAUCAGUUGAAAAAAAAAGGCCUAACAUUUAAACUAGAAAACAUUUGUUAAAUUAAACAGAACUGUUAAACGUGACACUUAAAGUCAGUGAAAUGAUCCCAAUUAAAAUGGAUAAAAUGGGAACAACAGCUCAUACAUGUCACAUUUACACCCUAGCUGUAUGUCAAGACAACAACCUGAAUUACAGGUUGAGAGUGAGCGCUGAACCAGUUGUCUAUUGAAGAAUACAGCGGUCAAAAUUCAAAAGCAAGCGAUCGCCGAACCCGUUAUCUAUUGAAGAAUACUGCAAUGAAAAUCCAUAUGCAAGUGAAUGACAAGCCAGUUGCCUAUCGAAGAUUAUUAAGGUCAAAACUCAAACGCAAGCGAUCGCCAAACCAGUUGUGCACUGAAGAAUACUGCGAUGAAAAUCCAAAUGCAAGUACACGACAAAUCCGUUGCCUAUUGAAGAUUAAUAAGGUCAAAAUUCAAACGGAAGUGAUCGCCAAAUCCAUUGAAGAAUACUGCGUUCAAAAUUCAAACAAGCGAUCGGUGAACCAGUUGCUAUUAAAGAAUAGCGUGGUCAAAAUUCAUACGCAAGCGAACACCGAACAUGCAGUCUAUUGCAGAAUAAUGCAGUGAAUAUCCAAAUGCAAGUGUAUGACAAAUCCAUUGCCUAUUGAAGAUUAAUAAGGUCAAAAUUCAAACGCAAGCGAUCGCCGAACAUGCAGUCCAUUGCAGAAUAUUGCAGUGAAAAUUUAAAUGCAAACGAUUGCUGAACCCGUUGUCUAUUGAAGAAUACUGUGGUCAAAAUGUAAACGUUAAGCAACCGCCGAACCCGAUGUCUAUUGAAGAAUACUGUGGUCAAAAUUCAAACAAGCAAUCGGUGAACCAGUUGCUAUUAAAGAAUAGUGUGGUCAAAAUUCAUACGCAAGCGAUCGCCGAACAUGCAGUCCAUUGCAGAAUAUUGCAGUGAAAAUUUAAAUGCAAACGAUUGCUGAACCCGUUGUCUAUUGAAGAAUACUGUGGUCAAAAUGUAAACGUUAAGCAACCGCCGAACCCGAUGUCUAUUGAAGAAUACUGCAGUGAAAAUCCAAAUGCACGACAAAUCCACUACCAAUUUAUGAUUAUUAAGGUCAAAAUUCUAAAGCAAGCGAUCGCUGAACCCGUUGUCUAUUGAAGAAUACUGCAGUGAAAAUCCAAAUGCACGAUAAAUCCACUACCAAUUUAUGAUUAAUAAGGUCAAAAUUCUAAAGCAAGUGAUCGCUGAACCCGUUGUCUAUUGAAGAAUACUGCGAUGAAAAUCCAUACACAAGUGUAUGACAAAUCCGUUGUCUAUUGAAGAAUAUUGUGGUCAAAAUUAAUUGCAGUCUAUUGCAGAAUAUUGCAGUGAAAAUUUAAAUGCAAGCAAUCGCUGAACCCGUUGUCUAUUGAAGAAUACUGUGGUCAAAAUUUAAACGUUAAGCGACCGCCGAACCCGAUGUCUAUUGAAGAAUACUGCAGUGAAAAUCCAAAUGCACGACAAAUCCACUACCAAUUUAUGAUUAAUAAGGUCAAAAUUCAAACGCAAGCGAUCGCUGAACCCGUUGUCUAUUGAAGAAUACUGUGGUCAAAAUUCAAACAAGCGAUCGGUGAACCAGUUGCUAUUAAAGAAUAGUGUGGUCAAAAUUCAUACGCAAGCGAACACCGAACAUGCAGUCUAUUGCAGAAUAUUGCAGUGAAAAUUUAAAUGCAAACGAUUGCUGAACCCGUUGUCUAUUGAAGAAUACUGUGGUCAAAAUUUAAACGUUAAGCGACCGCCGAACCCGAUGUCUAUUGAAGAAUACUGCAGUGAAAAUCCAAAUGCACGACAAAUCCACUACCAAUUUAUGAUUAAUAAGGUCAAAAUUCUAAAGCAAGCGAUCGCUGAACCAGUUGUCUAUUGAAGAAUACUGCGGUGAAAAUCCAUACGCAAGUGAACAAGUCUGUUGCCUAUCGAAGAUUAAGGUCAAAAUUCAAACGCAAGCGAUCGCUGAACCCGUCGUCUAUUAAAGAAUACUGCAAUGAAAAUCCAAACGCAAGUGUAUGACAAGUCCGUUGUCUAUUGAAGAAUACUGUGGUCAAAAUUCAAACAAGCGAUCGGUGAACCAGUUGCUAUUAAAGAAUAGUGUGGUCAAAAUUCAUACGCAAGCGAACACCGAACAUGCAGUCUAUUGCAGAAUAAUGCAGUGAAUAUCCAAACGCAAGUGUAUGACAAAUCCGUUGCCUAUUUAAGAUUAAUAAGGUCAAAAUUCAAACGCAAGCGAUCGCCGAACAUGCAGUCCAUUGCAGAAUAUUGCAGUGAAAAUUUAAAUGCAAACGAUUGCUGACCCCGUUGUCUAUUGAAGAAUACCGUGGUCAAAAUGUAAACGUUAAGCGACCGCCGAACCCGAUGUCUAUUGAAGAAUACUGCAGUGAAAAUCCAAAUGCACGACAAAUCCACUACCAAUUUAUGAUUAAUAAGGUCAAAAUUCUAAAGCAAGUAAUCGCGAAACCUGUUGUCUAUUGAAGAACACUGCAGUCAAAAUUUAAACGCAAGCGAUUGCCGAACCAGUUGUCUAUUAAAGAAUACUGCGGUGAAAAUCCAUAUGCAAGUGAACGACAAAUCCGUUGCCUAUUGAAGAUUAUUAAGGUCAAAAUUCAAAAGCAAGCGAUCGCUGAACCCGUUGUCUAUUGAAGAAUACUGCGGUGAAAAUCCAUAUGCAAGUGAACGACAAAUCCGUUGCCUAUUGAAGAUUAUUAAG